This 155-nucleotide ribosomal RNA is filed under the name Rhizobium sp. PVA-7. Its description in RNAcentral is "partial 16S ribosomal RNA". It matches the Rfam family "Bacterial small subunit ribosomal RNA", at positions 335 to 507 of the family's 1533-position model. The record is from RNAcentral. Lineage: Bacteria; Pseudomonadati; Pseudomonadota; Alphaproteobacteria; Hyphomicrobiales; Rhizobiaceae.
ACUCCUACGGGAGGCAGCAGUGGGGAAUAUUGGACAAUGGGCGAAAGCCUGAUCCAGCAAUGCCGCGUGAGUGAUGAAGGCCUUAGGGUUGUAAAGCUCUUUCACCGGUGAAGAUAAUGACGGUAACCGGAGAAGAAGCCCCGGCUAACUUCGUG